CUCCGUUUUCUAUUUGGUGUCAUAUCUAGAUGUUGGAUUGCUUAUUUGCUCGAGGUUCUCUUUUCUUUAUGAUUAUCUGCAGAGAAGAAGAUGGAUUAAAAAAGUAAAGUUAUCGAAGAGAAGCAGAGAAAAGAAGGCAAAGCUUCUUUGCCAGAGGAAUUUUCUGAUGUUUCUCAUUCGGGUUCAUCUUUCCCUUGCAUGGAUAAACUAAGGGAAGAGCUCUCUUGCGCGCUUUUGCAAGAAAUGCCUGCAAUUGGCUGCUGAUAAAUGUGGAAAGCGAUGCCCAAAAUGCAGGCAGCUAAUUAGCAAUGGGCGAUCUUGCACAGUGAACAUAGUUCUUUGGAACACGGUGCAACUUCUGUUUCCAAAAGAAGUUAAAGCAAGAAAGGCAUCGGGAAUGCUGAAUAGCCAUGAAGCUGAGCGUCGGAGCCCUGAAGAGGCAAGUCGAAAUACCCCAGUUCCCAGAAGAAUAGGAACAGUAGUUAGAAGAAGAGAAACAUCUACUGAGGUGGAGGAGGAGGAAGAGGAGACAUUGGGUUCAAGUUGGAGGAGAAGAGGAGUGAGCAGUCAAGAGCAGAGUGUGAGAAGAGGAAGACGAGUUCCCAGUCAAAAGGAAGAUGUCGCAUUGGCUUUUAGAUUGCAGAGGGAAGAAUUCAUGGGGGCUCUUGGGGGGGGGGAGCUCAUCAUGUGCAACCAAGGACAAGGACCUCUUUUUCCUCGGCCAGGGAAGCCUUGAGAGCCAUGGCAUCCAGAGCCACUGACCUUCGCAUCAGAGGCCGCCCUAUAUAGUCUAAUUUUCAGGAUUUUUGUUAAUCAUUCAUAUUCUGUGAACUGAAAUUUAUUGUUUCAGAUUUCCAGCUACUGGGUUGUUCCAGAAUGGAUCUAUAUCUCAUACCAAUAAUAAACAAUUCAACCACUAAUACAGUCUUACAAUGGAAUCCACCACCGUUUUUGCUGUAGAUGGGUCGUGUGCAUAU
Long non-coding RNA from Nelumbo nucifera (sacred lotus), 977 nucleotides. RefSeq lists it as uncharacterized. The record is from RefSeq and is a predicted model, not a curated record. NCBI's taxonomy places the organism in Eukaryota, Viridiplantae, Streptophyta, Magnoliopsida, Proteales, Nelumbonaceae.